Molecule: transfer RNA, 77 nt
Filed under: Desulfovibrionaceae bacterium
Lineage: Bacteria; Pseudomonadati; Thermodesulfobacteriota; Desulfovibrionia; Desulfovibrionales; Desulfovibrionaceae
Description: tRNA-Ile
Rfam family: tRNA
About the family: Transfer RNA (tRNA) molecules are approximately 80 nucleotides in length. Their secondary structure includes four short double-helical elements and three loops (D, anti-codon, and T loops). Further hydrogen bonds mediate the characteristic L-shaped molecular structure. tRNAs have two regions of fundamental functional importance: the anti-codon, which is responsible for specific mRNA codon recognition, and the 3' end, to which the tRNAs corresponding amino acid is attached (by aminoacyl-tRNA synthetases). tRNAs cope with the degeneracy of the genetic code in two manners: having more than one tRNA (with a specific anti-codon) for a particular amino acid; and 'wobble' base-pairing, i.e. permitting non-standard base-pairing at the 3rd anti-codon position.
Source: RNAcentral
GGGAUUGUAGCUCAGGUGGUUAGAGCGUACGCCUGAUAAGCGUAAGGUCGGAAGUUCAAGUCUUCUCAGUCCCACCA